This 550-nucleotide transfer RNA is filed under the name uncultured Prochlorococcus sp. Its description in RNAcentral is "partial 16S-23S ribosomal RNA intergenic spacer". The stretch from base 210 to 282 matches the Rfam family "tRNA". Lineage: Bacteria; Bacillati; Cyanobacteriota; Cyanophyceae; Synechococcales; Prochlorococcaceae. The record is from RNAcentral.
CAGGGAGACAACAAAAUGUAAAUAUUAAUUUUGUCACCUUAGGUCGAUCGGUAUCUCAGAUUCUUAUUUUUUAAGAAUUUCAGUUUCUAAGUUUUUUCUAGGUCACACCCAUCACUUUUUCCUGGGCCAUUAGCUCAGGUGGUUAGAGCGCACCCCUGAUAAGGGUGAGGUCCCUGGUUCAAGUCCAGGAUGGCCCAUAUCUCUAUGUUGGGGGUAUAGCUCAGUUGGUAGAGCGCCUGCUUUGCAAGCAGGAUGUCAGCGGUUCGAGUCCGCUUACCUCCACUGAAUACCACCUCUUACAUAUAUUUUAAAGAGGGAAAUUGUUUUGAGUUGUGUCCUAAUUUGCUCUGAGCGAAUCUAGCUUCCUAUUUUAUUCAAUUAAUAAGAUGCUGGACUCAUUGAACUUUUUUCAUUGUUUUCAGAGAACCUUGACAACUGCAUAGAUUAUUUUUGAAGACAAUAAGCAUCUUUAAUGAUGCAGAUUUAUUAUUUGUGCGAAUGCAUCAAAUAACAAUUCUAUUAAGCUGAUGCUUCAAUUAUUGAAGUUAUU